RNAcentral lists this ribosomal RNA (546 nucleotides) under uncultured fungus. Its description in RNAcentral is "eukaryotic LSU rRNA". The stretch from base 140 to 293 matches the Rfam family "5.8S ribosomal RNA". Lineage: Eukaryota; Fungi. The record is from RNAcentral.
UCCGUAGGUGAACCUGCGGAAGGAUCAUUACUGAUUUGGCGGACCGAGCGUCAGCGAGGUUCCGCGAUCACUUAUAUUUAAAACCCACACCUUGAAUAUAUUAUAUAUUGUAUUUUUUAAAUGAUAAAAUAAAAAAGAUCACUUUCAACAACGGAUCUCUUGGCUCUCGCAUCGAUGAAGAACGUAGCGAAGUGCGAUAAGUAAUGUGAAUUGCAGAAUUCCGUGAAUCAUCGAAUCUUUGAACGCAAAUUGCACUCUUUGGUAUUCCGAAGAGUAUGCCUGUUUGAGGGUCAGUUAAAUAAAAAUCGGUGUUGUUGCUGCCUUUCGUGGUAACGCUUCGGAUUUGGGUCGUCUUACCUUCGGUUAAGUGACCUAAAAUUUAGCAUGAUUUUUCGAACGUAUUUAAAUUAUUUAUGUACGUUUGUGAUAUCGAAUAUAUUAGAUGUGGUCAUUGUCAUGAUUUGCGUCUAUAAUUUUUUGUAAAAUGACCUCAAAUCAGGUAAGAGUACCCGCUGAACUUAAGCAUAUCAAUAAGCGGAGGAAGUC